GAGUUUGAUCAUGACUCAGAUUGAACGCUGGCGGCAUGCCUUACACAUGCAAGUCGAACGGCAGCACGGGAGCUUGCUCCUGGGUGGCGAGUGGCGAACGGGUGAGUAAUGCAUCGGAACGUAUCCUGGAGUGGGGGAUAACGUAGCGAAAGUUACGCUAAUACCGCAUAUUCUGUGAGCAGGAAAGCGGGGGACCUUCGGGGCCUCGCGCUCUUGGAGCGGCCGAUGUCGGAUUAGCUAGUUGGUGAGGUAAAGGCUCACCAAGGCGACGAUCCGUAGCAGGUCUGAGAGGAUGAUCUGCCACACUGGAACUGAGACACGGUCCAGACUCCUACGGGAGGCAGCAGUGGGGAAUUUUGGACAAUGGGGGCAACCCUGAUCCAGCCAUGCCGCGUGAGUGAAGAAGGCCUCGG
This 413-nucleotide ribosomal RNA is filed under the name bacterium enrichment culture clone ALO1_GLFRUDD03FLH52. Its description in RNAcentral is "bacterial SSU rRNA". It matches the Rfam family "Bacterial small subunit ribosomal RNA", at positions 9 to 420 of the family's 1533-position model. The record is from RNAcentral.